RNAcentral lists this ribosomal RNA (503 nucleotides) under uncultured bacterium. Its description in RNAcentral is "partial 16S ribosomal RNA". It matches the Rfam family "Bacterial small subunit ribosomal RNA", at positions 30 to 523 of the family's 1533-position model. The record is from RNAcentral.
AUUGAACGCUGGGGGCAGGCUUAACACAUGCAAGUCGGGCGGGGUGAUGGUGCUUGCACUAUCACUUAGCGGCGGACGGGUGAGUAAUGCUUAGGAAUCUGCCUAUUAGUGGGGGACAACAUCUCGAAAGGGAUGCUAAUACCGCAUACGUCCUACGGGAGAAAGCAGGGGAUCACUUGUGACCUUGCGCUAAUAGAUGAGCCUAAGUCGGAUUAGCUAGUUGGUGGGGUAAAGGCCUACCAAGGCGACGAUCUGUAGCGGGUCUGAGAGGAUGAUCAGCCACACUGGGACUGAGACACGGCCCAGACUCCUACGGGAGGCAGCAGUGGGGAAUAUUGGACAAUGGGGGGAACCCUGAUCCAACCAUGCCGCGUGUGCGAAGAAGGCCUUAUGGUUGUAAAGCACUUUAAGCGAGGAGGAGGCUCUUUUGGUUAAUACCCAAGAUGAGUGGACGUUACUCGCAGAAUAAGCACCGGCUAACUCUGUGCCAGCCGCCGCCGUAA